ACGGGGAGGAAAGAACCAACAGGGAUUGCCCCAGUAACGGCGAGUGAAGCGGCAACAGCUCAAAUUUGAAAUCUGGCUCCUAGAGCCCGAGUUGUAAUUUGUAGAGGAUGCUUUUGAUGCGGUGCCUUCCGAGUUCCCUGGAACGGGACGCCAUAGAGGGUGAGAGCCCCGUCUGGUCGGAUGCCAAAUCUCUGUAAAGCUCCUUCGACGAGUCGAGUAGUUUGGGAAUGCUGCUCAAAAUGGGAGGUAUAUGUCUUCUAAAGCUAAAUAUUGGCCAGAGACCGAUAGCGCACAAGUAGAGUGAUCGAAAGAUGAAAAGCACUUUGAAAAGAGGGUUAAAUAGUACGUGAAAUUGUUGAAAGGGAAGCGCCUAUGACCAGACUUGGGCCCGGUGAAUCAUCCAGCGUUCUCGCUGGUGCACUUUGCCGGGCACAGGCCAGCAUCAGUUUGUCUUGGGGGAAAAAGGCUUUGGGAACGUGGCUCCUUCGGGAGUGUUAUAGACCAUUGCAUAAUACCCUGGGACGGACUGAGGUUCGCGCAUCUGCAAGGAUGCUGGCGUAAUGGUCAUCAGCGACCCGUCUUGAAACACGGACCAAGGAGUCGUCUUCGUAUGCGAGUGUUCGGGUGUAAAACCCCUACGCGUAAUGAAAGUGAACGCAGGUGAGAGCUUCGGCGCAUCAUCGACCGAUCCUGAUGUUCUCGGAUGGAUUUGAGUAAGAGCAUACGGGGCCGGACCCGAAAGAAGGUGAACUAUUCCUGUAUAGGGUGAAGCCAGAGGAAACUCUGGUGGAGGCUCGCAGCGGUUCUGACGUGCGAAUCGAUCGUCAAAUAUGGGAAUGGGGGCGAAAGACUAAUCGAACCUUCUAGUAGCUGGUUUCCGCCGAAGUUUCCCUCAGGAAA
Molecule: ribosomal RNA, 900 nt
Filed under: Simplicillium sp.
Lineage: Eukaryota; Fungi; Ascomycota; Sordariomycetes; Hypocreales; Cordycipitaceae
Description: partial large subunit ribosomal RNA
Rfam family: Eukaryotic large subunit ribosomal RNA
Source: RNAcentral